AGGGUUCGAUCAUGGCUCAGGAUGAACGCUAGCGGCAGGCCUAAUACAUGCAAGUCGAACGGUAACAUUGGUGCUUGCACCAGAUGACGAGUGGCGCACGGGUGCGUAACGCGUAUGCAACCUACCUUUUACUAGAGUAUAGCCCAGAGAAAUUUGGAUUAAUCCUCUAUAACAUCUUUUAAUUUCAUGAUUUUAAGAUUAAAGUUUUAACGGUAAAAGAUGGGCAUGCGUCCUAUUAGUUUGUAGGUGAGGUAACGGCUCACCUAGACUACGAUAGGUAGGGGCCCUGAGAGGGGGAUCCCCCACACUGGUACUGAGACACGGACCAGACUCCUACGGGAGGCAGCAGUAAGGAAUAUUGGACAAUGGACGAAAGUCUGAUCCAGCCAUGCCGCGUGCAGGAUGACAGCCCUACGGGUUGUAAACUGCUUUUAUACAGGAAGAAACACUCCGACGUGUCGGAGCUUGACGGUACUGUAAGAAUAAGGAUCGGCUAACUCCGUGCCAGCAGCCGCGGUAAUACA
RNAcentral lists this ribosomal RNA (524 nucleotides) under uncultured bacterium. RNAcentral describes it as "bacterial SSU rRNA". It matches the Rfam family "Bacterial small subunit ribosomal RNA", at positions 8 to 527 of the family's 1533-position model. The record is from RNAcentral.